Molecule: ribosomal RNA, 216 nt
Filed under: Glomeromycotina sp.
Lineage: Eukaryota; Fungi; Glomeromycota
Description: partial small subunit ribosomal RNA
Rfam family: Eukaryotic small subunit ribosomal RNA (bases 40-216)
Source: RNAcentral
GGGUCAGGAGGGUGGUCGUGCCACCGGUACGUACUGGUCUCACUGAUUCCUCCUUCCUGAUGAACCGUAAUGCCAUUAAUUUGGUGUUGCGGGGAAACAGGACUGUUACUUUGAAAAAAUUAGAGUGUUUAAAGCAAGCUAACGCUUGAAUACAUUAGCAUGGAAUAAUGAAAUAGGACGAUCGAUCCUAUUUUGUUGGUUUCUAGGAUUGACGUA